AUGAGUCAGAUCAUCUACCCGAUGCUUAAAGUCGAGUGUGGGCUUGGGCUACGACCCAAAAUUGCUAGCCGCCCCAGCCGAUUGGCCCAAAGGCCCACAAAAAACCCUAGCAUAGUCAUAUAUAUAUCUCGACCUCUCCCGUCCCCCUUCCAUCCUAGCCGCCGCCGCCGCCUCGCCCCCAAAAUCUGGUGCUGCAUCGCGCGUCCACAGCUCCCCCCCUCAUGCGCCCACGAGAACCACAUUCUCACCCCUACCUCUGCUCCACAUGCUUCCUCGAUCACCUAUUCAUGCCAUCCAUUAGCGAAGAUCUACAGUCUUGCUUCACGCCGCUUCUCUGAGUACCGAAUUGUGGCUUGUUGUCGGGGUGCCUUUUCUAACUUACACAUCUUGGGUAGAGAUAGCCGAAGCAACCACCCGCACCUUGGCGACAUAAGUCUUGACACUCUAGCAUCCAAGAUAAUCUCUGGCGACUUAAUUUGGUGGUGCGGAAGAGGGAUAGAGAAAAGUAUGCUUAUUAUGGAUUCUGAGGAAGCUGGUUCAAAGAAGGAAAGGAAUGAGGAAUAUUCCAUAAACUGUCUCCCAAGAGAGCUCAUCGAGCGGAUAUUUUUUCGGCUUCUGGUGAGCACUUUAUUGGUGUGUGUUGGUGUUUUGCCAACCAUUGACCCUGAUGAUUUCCUGUGUGGUUCAUGUAAUGGGAUUAUUUGCUUAUACACAAAGACAUCAACAAUCAAGAUAGCUAACCUUGCAACUGGCGAAUGUCUGCAUCUUGAGAAACCUAUAAAGAAUUUGAGUGGCGACCAAUUCUUGUUCUAUAGUUUUGGGUUUCACCCUUUGACAAGAGAAUACAAAAUUACACACUUGGGUGACUAUGUUGAGGGCCGUCCCGAGAAUGGAGACAAAUUCACCAUCAUUCAAGUUUACAGGCUUGGUGAUGAGAAAUGGAAAGACAUCAGAACCCCAGAAGCCUUAAGCUUGAGUUGCGUCAAAAACUCUGGACUAAUCAAUGUUGGCGGAACAAUGUAUUGGUUAACUAAUGAUAUGGCAACUAACUGGAAGCAUGUUGUUAUGUGCUUUGAUCUCGGCGAAGAAGCUUUUGCACGGAUAGAACUGCCAACAUCCGUACUUGAAAAUAGUGUUUAUGGUGGUCCCCGUAGGUACAGGAUGAGAGAGAUAGAUGGGAAAAUAUGUAUAGCAACCGCUCAAACCUGGCACAAAGUUAUUUAUGGUAAGCUGCAGAUCUGGACACUUGACAACAAGGUCGAGCAAAGUUGGAGCCAGAAGUCUUUUCACAACGAUCUGGCAUACAACUCAAACAUCGUCUGCAAGUAUCCAAGAUCCUCCCGACGGCUUAAUUUGGUGGGGGAAAAGCGAGACAGAGAAAAGUUACUUGCUCGUAUGAGGAAGUACGGAGAUAUUUGCAAGGCUAUGAAUGAGGAAAUUGGGAGGAUCGUUCGUAUGACGGAGAUUGCUAUACAAUAUAAGGUGGGUUCUUCGAGUUCAAAUGAUGCUAUUUCAUCCCAGAAUCACAGUGACGACAAGGAUACAGCUGAGUCUUGA
RNAcentral lists this ribosomal RNA (1557 nucleotides) under Triticum aestivum (bread wheat). RNAcentral describes it as "partial small subunit ribosomal RNA". The record is from RNAcentral. Lineage: Eukaryota; Viridiplantae; Streptophyta; Magnoliopsida; Poales; Poaceae.